RNAcentral lists this ribosomal RNA (468 nucleotides) under uncultured bacterium. RNAcentral describes it as "partial 16S ribosomal RNA". It matches the Rfam family "Bacterial small subunit ribosomal RNA", at positions 28 to 507 of the family's 1533-position model. The record is from RNAcentral.
GACGAACGCUGGCGGCGUGCUUAACACAUGCAAGUCGAACGGAAAGGCGCUGCUCUUGCGGGGCGCUCGAGUGGGGAAGGGGGGAGUAAAACGUGAGUAACAUGCCCCUGUAUUUGGGAUAACAUCAGGAAACAGGGGAUAAAACCGGAUAGGAGCUCCUGCAGCACGGGGGGGGAUGGAAAGAUUCGGCGGUGGGGGAUGGACUAGCGGCUUAUGAGCUGGUUGGUGGGGUAGUGGCAUACGAAGGCUUUGACGGGUAGCCGGCCUGGGAGCGUGACCGGCCACAUUGGGACUGAGGUACGGCGCAGACUCGUACGGGAGGCAGCAGUGGGGAAUAUUGCACAAUGGGCGGAAGCCUGAUGCAGCGACGCCGCGUGCGGGAUAACGGCCUUCGAGUUGUAAACCGCUUUCGCCUGUGACGAGGCGUGAUUGACGGUAAUGGGUAAGAAAGCACCGGCUAACUACGUG